UGUCAAAUCAAUAGUUUAAGGCCUGUCUACUACUGCUCCUGGAAAUGAAGUGUCCCGUUUUGGAUGACAAAUUGUAUGAUUACCUUGACUAUAAUGCAACUGGUAUAACUUCAAAGGCUACCACUUUCUCCAUUCCAGCCACAAAUAGAAUACCGAACACUGGACAUCAACUUGCAAAUGUAGUAAGAGUGCAGCUUCAGGCUUUGUCUACACCAUAUCUUUGAGACUGGCUCUUCUAAGAAGUUCCUUCCAGCAACUGCUCUCCUUGCUCCAACCUCCAACAGUACUUCCUCCAACAGCACUCCAACGACCUCCAGUCUCCAGCUUCGACUGAUCUGAAACUUGCCACGUUGACUUUCAAUACACUGUUAAAUAAGGACAUAUCUGUGUUCCCAGCUAUACUAAAGUCUCCUUGAGAGCAGUUGGAAAACCUCAAUAAUACUAUGAAUUGAAAUUCAUUAAACACUAAAUGUAUGCCAAA
Long non-coding RNA from Gorilla gorilla gorilla (western lowland gorilla), 481 nucleotides. RefSeq lists it as uncharacterized. The record is from RefSeq and is a predicted model, not a curated record. The transcript has 3 exons. Lineage: Eukaryota; Metazoa; Chordata; Mammalia; Primates; Hominidae.